UUCAACAACCCUUCAUGCUAAAAACUCUCAAUAAAUUAGGUAUUGAUGGGACGUAUUUCAAAAUAAUAAGAGGAAACACUUUUCAACAUGUUUUAUGAGUCUACCGUUAUCCCCAUACCAAAACCAUAAAACAGACAUUACAAGAAAAUGUCCUGUAGACAAAUAUGUAUUUUGAUGAUGAAUUUAGAUUUCAAAAACUUCAGCAAAAUAUUAUCCAAUUAAAUCCUCUCAUGUCUGUGUGUGUGUGUGUGUGCAUGCACGUGUGUUUGUAAAAUAUAUCAUUACUAAUUGGCGUUUAUCUUGGGAGUUCAAGAUGGUUUCCAUAUUCAAUCAACCCAUCAAUGUGGACUAUGGUCACUUGAAAAGACCAGCAAAUCCUCUGCACAAAAGGCCACUAGAAAUUCAUUAAAGCAGCCUUCCAUCAUUCUCGAAAUUGACCAAAGCAUUCAACUACCUGAGAAAUAUUUAUGUUUGGAAAGCUAUUGAAAUGCAAUUAAAAAUAUCAGGAAACCUGUUUUUACCUUUUGUCCUAAUCUUGCUAAAUCCUUCUUAAUUUUAGGAGACACUGCUUCUCCUUCCACUGUUCUUUUACUUUCUCCUUCCCCUUUGUUUUUGCCUCCCCCUUCCUCUCCCUUUUCUACAUUCCUUCUCUCUCCUAAAUGCUGUAUAAAUUUCUACAUAUGUAAUCAUAUUAUUUACAAAUAGGAACAGUUUUACUUAUUUCUUUCCAGUCUGCAUUUAUUUUAUUCUUCCUUUUUUUCCUUACACACUGGAUAGAACUCUAAGUAUUAUGUUGAAAAAGAGUGAUAAAAGCAAACAUCUUUGCUUUAUUCCUGAGCAUACAUGUGGAAAACAUUCAGUGUUUCACAGCUAAAUAUGAUGGAUUUUUUGUAUGCUCUUUAUCAAGAUGAAGGAAUUUUCUGCUAUUUCUGGUUUGCUGAAUUUUUAUCACAAGUAACUGUUGAAUAGUGUCUUUUUCCCCUGCAUUUAUUGAACUGAUCAUGCAUUCUCCUAUUUUAGAAUAUUAAUAUGAUGAACUAUAUUAUUAGAUUUUUUAAAAUAUUGCAACUGUCUUGCAUUUCUGGAAUAAACAUGGCUUGGUCAUGUGUCACUUUUUUACAUAGUGUCGUAUUCAAGUUGUCGAGGAUUUUGCAUCUAGGGUAUAUUUGUAGAUUUGCAUCUAGGUUAUGUUGGUCUAAAGUUUUGUUUGUUUGUUUUCCUUUUCUUUUUUUUUAUCAUCUUUGUCUUCUUCUGUUUAAGUGUCAUGCUUGCUUCAUAAAAUGAAUUGAGAAGCAUUUCUUCCUCUUCUGUUUCUCGAAAAUUGUAGAGAACUCUUGUUUUUUGUUGUUGUUUGUUUGUUGUUUUGUUUUUUCUUAUUUUUAUCCUCAUACUGAGAACCAAACAGUCUGGAGUGUAAAACAUGGUUCCUCAUUCCAGUUAAAUCUAGUAUACAAUGACAACAACCCUCUUGGGUUAAGCAUUGGCCUACAAACAGAAAAAAACCUUCAGGGAGAUAGAUGCUGAUCUAGGCAUUGUGAGAAAAGCUGAAUUCAUUUUUAAUCAUGAAUGGCUUUUAAGGAAAGAAGAUUUAUUAACUAAAAUAAAUAGAUUAGAGGGAAUUCUCACCUAUGAGAGAGGAAGGGAUGGGAUUCAACCUGGAAAAAGUAAUGAAGUUUUAGUGAACUUGGUAAGGUAGACUCAACAAUUAAUGAUGGAUAAUGCUAGGACCCAACACUGGUAAUGAGUUUGUAUUAUGACUCAAUAGCAUCACUUUAUCACUUUAACACAGAUGGAGGCCUAAAUAACCAUAGGGUAAUGGUUCUUCUUAGAUGCAGAAGGACACAUUUAUAUAAUCUUAGGGACCCCAUCUCUGAGGUCACUCAUAAUUUAUAUUAAUUCAUUGUUAUUGCCAUUGCCCCAAGAAUAGAUAAGGAUAAGACAUCCUGUAGUACAGGUAGCAGAGAUAUAAACUAUUCUUAUUCUUGUGUCUUGUCUAUAGGAAGGGAGUGUAUCCUGGUGUAAGACAGCAUAUAGUAGAGACCAUUGUCAAUUAGGGCCUGUGAACUAAGACAGGGUGACUGGCUAAGUCCACAACCCAUUAGAAACCCAGAAAUAAUCAAAUCAUGGUGAGUAGUAAUAACACUUAUUUAUAAUACUAUACGGUAUAAAGACAAGAACCAAUUAUGUUGAGUAGCUGUAACAAAUAGCUCUAUCAUUCGUAAUAACUUUUUCUGUAAUAAAACUGAAUUGUAACAUGAUCAUACUGCAAUAUGACAUUACACUAGCAUUGUUGGUAAGAUUCAACUAUCUUAUGUAGAGAAGUUAUAUAAUGCUUAUAUUGAUAAUCAAAUGUAUUAAGAUAUUGAGUUAAAGCCUCUUCAGAAUGUAAUCUGGGUGAAUAAUAAAUGGCCUGAGAAAACAGAAUUCAGCUAACCAUUAUCUAAUUUCAAUGCUAAAUAGUUCUGCACAGAUUUAUCAAAAAGUAAAAAUAAAAGCAGAUUGAGAGGAGGAAUGAAUAAUUUUGUUUGUACAAAAUAUUAAAGUGUAUGUAAUGGGCUUGUAGGAUGCAUUAGUAAUUUUUAAAAAUCAAUCUUUACCCUACACUGUGUCCAUAAAAUGCUAGGCAUAUUCAUGUUAAUAUUACUGUUGUUACUGUCAUAUAAAUGCCAUAUUCAAUGUAGAUGCUCAGAAAAAUAUGAUUGUUUUGCUACAGGAGAGAUUAGACCAGGGACAAUAAAUAUGGAUUAGGCAAGAAUGUGUUAACUCAGCAGCCCAGGGUUUUUUCAACCCUGCACAUUCAAAGGUAAGGUUUGUUUUUAGGACUAGCUAGCCUCUGAGUUCUGGAAAUAGUCUUACCGUGAAGAGUGUUUUUGUAUAUCUGAGGCCUUGGGUUUAUGGUGAAUGACUGACUUAUAUGCCUGAGGCCCUGAGCCAUGCUGUAUUUAUUUGAACCAUGUGGUAUCAAUUUAACCAGAUACGUUUAUUCUAAGAUAUGAUUUAUGCUGAAUGCCUGGUUUUGUUCUAGAGGGAUCAUGGAAAGGAAGCUGAAUUUGCCAAGUUUUGCCACUUGGGCAUUGCAUGCCUAUGUGAUUAACCACCAAUAAAAACCUGGGACAUCAAAGAAUAAAUAAGCUGCUCUAAUUGCCAAGAAUUCACAUGUGGUUGUAUGCAGCUUUACUGGGAGACUGAAGUGUAUCUGCAUGUGAUUCUGCUGUGAUGGACACUUGAUCUUGAGAUGACGUCAUACUGGAUGAUCCUAGUGCACCCUAAAUCCAAUAAGUGUUCUUAUGAAAGACAGAAGAGGAGAAGAUACAGGAAAUAGAAGAAGGCUACUUGAGGAUGGAAGCAGAGAUUGGAGUUAUGCAGCUACAAACCAAAGAAUGCCUUGAGCCACCAGCAGCUGAAAGAGCUAGUCAGCAAUACAACUGGGAUUUGAUAUCAGAUUCAUACGAUUCCGAAGACCCUGACCACCAAAUGCAAAAGGAUAAGAGGGCAUCUCUUCUUCCAUAUUCAUAAAUACGUUGCCAACAGGAAUUUGUUGUUAUUUACACUUUCUUCUCCUAGACAUUUUAAUUUUACUUACCUUCCCUGAGCACAUGGCAAAGUCAAAACACAAGCAGAAUCUUACUUAUGAAUAGAGGCAGAUUUAUUAAGCCAGGGGUAGGCAAACUAUAGCCAAUGAGCCAAAGCCAGGCUGCCACGGGUUUUUAUAAAUAAAAUUUUAUAGGAACUCAGCCACAGACAUUCCUUUACAUAUUGCCUACAGCUGCUUAAGCACUACAAAGGCAAAGUUGCAUAUUUACAACACAAAUAAUAUGGCCUGCAAGCCUAAAGUAUCUACUAUCGUGCCCUUUAUAGAAAAUGUUUAUCAGCUUUUGUUCUCUUAUCCUAAGUUAUGAGGCUUACAUUUCCGGCCACCUCAUUUGCAUUUGAGUUUCCAGUUUUGAGUUUGUAGUUUUGCAUUCUUGCUUAAAGAGCCCCAAACCCUGACCGCCAAAUUGAAUGUGCUGUAGAUCCCACAAAAUAUGGAUCCAAUCAAGCUGAUGCCAUGUCAUUAUCUGUAGCUUUUAUUCUUUGCCAUCACACACCUUCCUUGAACAGUUAGGCUUCUGCAAAAAAUCUUAAAUAAUCACUGAUAUGGGUUGGUUCUGUGUCUUCACCCAAAUCUCAUCUUGUAGCUCCCAUAAUUUCCACGUGUUAUGGGAAGGAUCCAGUGGGAGAUGUCUGAAUCAUGAGGGCACGUAUGUCCCAUGCUGUUCCCAUGAUAGUGAAUGGAUCUCACGAGAUCUGAUGGUGUUAAAAAUGGGAGUUUCUCCACACAAUC
This 4324-nucleotide long non-coding RNA is filed under the name Homo sapiens (human). Its description in RNAcentral is "HSALNT0351983". The record is from RNAcentral. Lineage: Eukaryota; Metazoa; Chordata; Mammalia; Primates; Hominidae.